This 107-nucleotide small nuclear RNA is filed under the name Nannospalax galili (Upper Galilee mountains blind mole rat). Lineage: Eukaryota; Metazoa; Chordata; Mammalia; Rodentia; Spalacidae. The record is from RNAcentral.
GUGCUCCCUUCGGCAGCACAUGUACUAAAAUUGGAAUAAUACAGAGAAGAUUAGCAUGGCCCCUGUGCAAGGAUGACAAGCAAAUUCAUGAAGCAUUCCAUAUUUAA